RNAcentral lists this ribosomal RNA (301 nucleotides) under uncultured bacterium. RNAcentral's name for it is "partial 16S ribosomal RNA". It matches the Rfam family "Bacterial small subunit ribosomal RNA", at positions 509 to 808 of the family's 1533-position model. The record is from RNAcentral.
CAGUAGCCACGGUAAUACGUAUGUCACAAGCGUUAUCCGGAUUUAUUGGGCGUAAAGCGCGUCUAGGUGGUUAUGUAAGUCUGAUGUGAAAAUGCAGGGCUCAACUCUGUAUUGCGUUGGAAACUGUGUAACUAGAGUACUGGAGAGGUAAGCGGAACUACAAGUGUAGAGGUGAAAUUCGUAGAUAUUUGUAGGAAUGCCGAUGGGGAAGCCAGCUUACUGGACAGAUACUGACGCUAAAGCGCGAAAGCGUGGGUAGCAAACAGGAUUAGAUACCCCCGUAGUCCCUGUCUCUUAUACA